AGAGUUUGAUCAUGGCUCAGAAUGAACGCUGGCGGCAGGCCUAACACAUGCAAGUCGAACGAGGUAGCAAUACCUAGUGGCGGACGGGUGAGUAACACGUGGGAACGUACCCUUUGCUACGGAAUAGCCCUGGGAAACUGGGAGUAAUACCGUAUGAGCCCGAGAGGGGAAAGAUUUAUCGGCAAAGGAUCGGCCCGCGUUGGAUUAGGUAGUUGGUGGGGUAAUGGCCUACCAAGCCGACGAUCCAUAGCUGGUUUGAGAGGAUGAUCAGCCACACUGGGACUGAGACACGGCCCAGACUCCUACGGGAGGCAGCAGUGGGGAAUCUUAGACAAUGGGGAAACCCUGAUCUAGCCAUGCCGCGUGAUCGAUGAAGGCCUUAGGGUUGUAAAGAUCUUUCAGGUGGGAAGAUAAUGACUGUACCACCAGAAGAAGCCCCGGCUAACUCCGUG
This 452-nucleotide ribosomal RNA is filed under the name uncultured bacterium. RNAcentral describes it as "bacterial SSU rRNA". It matches the Rfam family "Bacterial small subunit ribosomal RNA", at positions 8 to 507 of the family's 1533-position model. The record is from RNAcentral.